RNAcentral lists this ribosomal RNA (969 nucleotides) under Francisella endosymbiont of Dermacentor andersoni. Its description in RNAcentral is "bacterial SSU rRNA". The record is from RNAcentral. Lineage: Bacteria; Pseudomonadati; Pseudomonadota; Gammaproteobacteria; Thiotrichales; Francisellaceae.
UGGCUUUUGGGCUGUCGCAGAUGGAUGAGCCUGCGUUGGAUUAGCUAGUUGGUGGGGUAAGGGCCUACCAAGGCUACGAUCCAUAGCUGAUUUGAGAGGAUGAUCAGCCACAUUGGGACUGAGACACGGCCCAAACUCCUACGGGAGGCAGCAGUGAGGAAUAUUGGACAAUGGGGGCAACCCUGAUCCAGCAAUGCCAUGUGUGUGAAGAAGGCCUUAGGGUUGUAAAGCACUUUAGUUGGGGAAGAAAGCUUUGAGGUUAAUAGCCUUGAGGAAAAGGACGUUACCCAAAGAAUAAGCACCGGCUAACUCCGUGCCAGCAGCCGCGGUAAUACGGGGGGUGCAAGCGUUAAUCGGAAUUACUGGGCGUAAAGGGUCUGUAGGUGGUUUGUUAAGUCAGAUGUGAAAGCCUAGGGCUCAACCUUGGAACUGCAUUUGAUACUGGUAAACUAGAGUACGGUAGAGGAAUGGGGAAUUUCUGGUGUAGCGGUGAAAUGCGUAGAGAUCAGAAGGAACACCAAUGGCGAAGGCAACAUUCUGGACCGAUACUGACACUGAGGGACGAAAGCGUGGGGAUCAAACAGGAUUAGAUACCCUGGUAGUCCACGCUGUAAACGAUGAGUACUAGCUGUUGGAGUCGGUGUAAAGGCUCUAGUGGCGCAGCUAACGCGAUAAGUACUCCGCCUGGGGACUACGGCCGCAAGGCUAAAACUCAAAGGAAUUGACGGGGACCCGCACAAGCGGUGGAGCAUGUAGUUUAAUUCGAUGCAACGCGAAGAACCUUACCUGGUCUUGACAUCCUGCGAUCUUUCUAGAGAUAGAUUGGUGCCUUCGGGAACGCAGUGACAGGUGCUGCACGGCUGUCGUCAGCUCGUGUUGUGAAAUGKUUGGGUUAAGUCCCGCAACGAGCGCAACCCCUAUUGAUAGUUACCAUCAUUAAGUUGGGUACUCUAUUAAGACUGCCGCUGA